Molecule: unclassified non-coding RNA, 210 nt
Filed under: Hevea brasiliensis (rubber tree)
Lineage: Eukaryota; Viridiplantae; Streptophyta; Magnoliopsida; Malpighiales; Euphorbiaceae
Source: RNAcentral
GGAAGAUGAAUGAAAUAGGAAAAAGGGAAAUGUGGGGGUUGAAAAAAACGUUCCGGUUUGACUUGGGCAGCGGUGUGGGGAUUGUUUGAGGUGGGACGGGAUUAAGAUAUUUGGGGAAAGGGGUUGAGAAAUUGCAAGCAAAAGGAGGAAAAAUGGAAGCUUGAAUGGAACGACGCCGAGGCCCAGGAUGUUGCUUUCGCGGGUUUGUCC